GGCGCACGGGUGAGUAACGCGUAUCCAACCUGCCCAUCACUUGGGGGAUAACCUUGCGAAAGUAAGACUAAUACCCAAUGACGUCUCUAGAAGACAUCUGAAGGAGAUUAAAGAUUUAUCGGUGAUGGAUGGGGAUGCGUCUGAUUAGCUUGUUGGCGGGGUAACGGCCCACCAAGGCGACGAUCAGUAGGGGUUCUGAGAGGAAGGUCCCCCACAUUGGAACUGAGACACGGUCCAAACUCCUACGGGAGGCAGCAGUGAGGAAUAUUGGUCAAUGGGCGAGGGCCUGAACCAGCCAAGUAGCGUGCAGGAUGACGGCCCUAUGGGUUGUAAACUGCUUUUAUAAGGGAAUAAAGUGGGAGUCGUGACUCUUUUGCAUGUACCUUAUGAAUAAGGACCGGCUAAUUCCGUG
RNAcentral lists this ribosomal RNA (412 nucleotides) under uncultured bacterium. RNAcentral describes it as "bacterial SSU rRNA". It matches the Rfam family "Bacterial small subunit ribosomal RNA", at positions 97 to 507 of the family's 1533-position model. The record is from RNAcentral.